This 133-nucleotide small nuclear RNA is filed under the name Choloepus hoffmanni (Hoffmann's two-fingered sloth). Its description in RNAcentral is "U11 spliceosomal RNA (ENSCHOG00000014878.1)". It matches the Rfam family "U11 spliceosomal RNA". Lineage: Eukaryota; Metazoa; Chordata; Mammalia; Pilosa; Megalonychidae. The record is from RNAcentral.
AAAAAGGGCUUCUGUCAUGAGUGGCACAUGUGGGGUGCCUUGGUUGCUCUUCAUGUGGAGUUGACAUCAAGAGAUUUCAGAAGCAUAAUUUUUGUUACCAGGGCAGCUGGUGAUCAUUGGUCCCGGCACCCAU